GGAAAAGUACAAGUGUGCAGGAAUAGAAAAGAAGAUGGAAACAACAAUCAUACUCGAACAAAAGCACAACUGACAUUGUACAAGACAAUUCAUCAUUUUAUAGAUGGACAAGAAGGACAAUUACUUUUCAAUUGAAGCAGCACUUAAUGGUAAUAGACUGUAUUUUUUGGAUAAUUUGACAUAAGAAUUCUAAUUGUUAAUAUCAUGUAGAAAAUGCUCAUAAAUGGAAACAAAAAGGGGGAAAUCCUAAUUUGUAUAAAUCUAUGUUGAGACAAGAUUUCUGAAUUAGGUCAAGCAUGAAUCCAACAGGCAACAAAGACUCAUCGAUGUCAAUGGCCAUGUACUUUACAAGAGCAUUAAUAAAGCUGCAUUUCAUUUUCUAUUCCAAACUAAUCAAGUGCAACUUUUGACCAAAAUGAGUGAAAUCAAUCUAUGAAUAAGUGAUAGUUGUAAAAUCGUAAGUGUACAAAAAUAGGGGUGAAACAAGAAAGGAAAAAAGUGUAGAAGCAUUGAAACUUAUGUAACAAGAACUUACUCACUCUAUUAAUCAUCUGCGUG
This 558-nucleotide unclassified non-coding RNA is filed under the name Hevea brasiliensis (rubber tree). The record is from RNAcentral. Lineage: Eukaryota; Viridiplantae; Streptophyta; Magnoliopsida; Malpighiales; Euphorbiaceae.